AGCGAACGCUGGCGGCAGGCCUAACACAUGCAGGUCGAACGAACCUUUCGGGGUUAGUGGCGGACGGGUGAGUAACACGUGGGAACGUGCCUUUAGGUUCGGAAUAACUCAGGGAAACUUGUGCUAAUACCGAAUGUGCCCUUCGGGGGAAAGAUUUAUCGCCUUUAGAGCGGCCCGCGUCUGAUUAGCUAGUUGGUUGAGGUAAUGGCUCACCAAGGCGACGAUCAGUAGCUGGUCUGAGAGGAUGAUCAGCCACAUUGGGACUGAGACACAGCCCAAACUCCUACGGGAGGCAGCAGUGGGGAAUCUUGCGCAAUGGGCGAAAGCCUGACGCAGCCAUGCCGCGUGAAUGAUGAAGGUCUUAGGAUUGUAAAAUUCUUUCACCGGGGACGAUAAUGACGGUACCCGGAGAAGAAGCCCCGGCUAACUUCGUG
Molecule: ribosomal RNA, 434 nt
Filed under: uncultured bacterium
Lineage: Bacteria
Description: partial 16S ribosomal RNA
Rfam family: Bacterial small subunit ribosomal RNA
Source: RNAcentral